AGUGAACGCUGGCGGCAGGCCUAAUACAUGCAAGUCGAACGGCAGCACAGUGGAGCUUGCUCCAUGGGUGGCGAGUGGCGGACGGGUGAGGAAUACAUGGGAAUCUGCCCAGUCGUGGGGGAUAACGUAGGGAAACUUACGCUAAUACCGCAUGCGCCCUUCGGGGGAAAGCCGGGGACCUUCGGGCCUGGCGCGAUUGGAUGAGCCCAUGUUGGAUUAGCUAGUUGGCGGGGUAAAGGCCCACCAAGGCGACGAUCGAUAGCUGGUCUGAGAGGAUGAUCAGCCACACUGGAACUGAGACACGGCCCAGACUCCUACGGGAGGUAGCAGUAGGGAAUAUUGGACAAUGGGCGCAAGCCUGAUCCAGCCAUGCCGCGUGAGUGAAGAAGGCCCUCGGGUUGUAAAGCUCUUUUGUCCGGGAAGAAAAGCAUCGGGCUAAUACCUCGGUGUUCUGACGGUACCGGAAGAAUAAGCACCGGCUAACUUCGUG
RNAcentral lists this ribosomal RNA (490 nucleotides) under uncultured bacterium. Its description in RNAcentral is "partial 16S ribosomal RNA". It matches the Rfam family "Bacterial small subunit ribosomal RNA", at positions 29 to 507 of the family's 1533-position model. The record is from RNAcentral.